Cyprinus carpio carpio is the source of this 2141-nucleotide long non-coding RNA. Lineage: Eukaryota; Metazoa; Chordata; Actinopteri; Cypriniformes; Cyprinidae. The record is from Ensembl.
UGCAUGUACUUUGAUAUUAUUGCAGGAUGGAUAAAUGGGAGACAGGUAUGUAAUCAUAUAUGUUAGAGUAGGUACUAUUAUAUUGAUAGAGAAGAAACAUGUUUCUCCUGAUAUUAAAUAAGUUAUGAUAAUUAAAAUUUAGAAUUAUAUCUCAUCACUUUGUCAUGGCAGAAUAAGCAUAAACACCAUAUUUUCUGUAUAUUGUACAGGUAACUAUAGAGGAAAAAGUAGUAUUAACCAUAGCAUUAAUCCUUUCCUUCAGUGACCUUUUGGCUCAGGUGACUUCUGACCCGGAGGGCCCCUGUUCUGACAAAGAGAGGCACAUCCAGAGGAGAGGAUCUUGAAACUGGUUUUGGUUCUAUCCACCCCUCCACAUCUCCGGCACAUGAACGUCAACGCUCCAAUCACCCUGUUGGUCAUAAGAAAUCAUAAGCAGUUCACAAAGCAUCAGCAUGACAAAGCAUUUAGAACAAAGAUGAGAAAUACUCCACCUGUACUUUACUGCUCCAGUAAAGCACAUGUCCUUGUAAGUUAGACUCUCCACUUAAGGUUUGUACGAGUCAUUGUGUCCAUCCUGAACUGCACUUAAUCAUGGUAUGCAAUAAUCAGUUCUGCUUGAUAUCCCAGAGCAGAGCAGUGUUUCCCCACCUUACACGUUUUGGAUGGCUCCCUAAUCAAACACACCUGAUUUAACUCAUGAUUUUGUUUGUAAAAACUCCAAACAUCAAAUGGGUGUGUCAGAUAAGUAAGACAUCCAUAAUGUGUACAGUUGGGGGCUUUCAGGAACAGGGUUGAGAAACCCUGUCCUAAUAAUGUGCUACUUAAUCUUCCAUCACACACAUAGUCUUUAAGAAAUCUCCUGUACCUUGGAUAAUACUCCUGUUAGACAGUUGCUUGAGGGGAUUUCUUCAUGGUUAAAGUUUUCUUCUGACAGCCACAAUGCUGAUUCUGUUUGGUCACUGUUAAGCUCAGCAAUGCUUGCAUUUCUCAGAGAUUUACCAAACAGUAGGUUUUGCCAGGACAAUAGUUUUGACUACCUCUUGGAUUAAAGUCUACUGAUUUUUCAGUAUUGUUGACCCUUCUCUGGUUCUCAUGUCUAAUUUCAUGUUCCAAGAACCAAUUCCAAAGCAAAAUUAGACAUUGACAGCUAUCUGAAAUAUACACUAAUGAUCCAGACAAACACGCUUGUCUAAUAAAAAACAGAUGUAAGUGCAACUGCCCAAAUAUUUUUGGCAUCUGUACUUGGUAGGAACUCUGAGCAAAUUAUGCUGUAAUUUCUAAACACAUUACUCAAUAUAAGGGAAAAAAAGAAUCAAAUCAAACCUGACAUAUUAUGACAUACCUAUGUAAAUUUAAAUCAAUAAAAAAAAUUAUAAAAAACAGAGUCCAAGUACUCUUUUAAAAUUAAUUACAUGCAAUGUUAAGUUCAUUGAUUUAGUUUUCUUCUUUCCCACAGCUGGUUUAAGGAAAAGUUUCCGGUUGAGCCGGAAGGACAACACAAGUCAACAUGUGAGACAGAAGAUGGGUGAAGGACAUGCCAGUAUCCAUUUACCAAUAUAUCAGGAGGUCCUGCCUUAAAAGAGAAAGCCUGACGAGCCUUACCGUCUUGUGCUUCGAAGUGGUGAGAAUGAUUCUUGCUUAAAGAAAUAGUUCAUCUAAGAACUAAUUUUUCUGUGUUUUUUUAUUUUUUUUAUUCUGUCAUUAUUCAACUUUUAAAGCCCGGACACACCAAGCCGACUUCAGAGAACUAGUGGCGAUGAAAGCCGACAGUGUUGUCACCUCACGUCGGCAGCGUUGGAUCAAAAAGCUGCACUCAUACACACCCCACAGACUACAGCCGACAGUAACCUAACACGUGUGUUCUACGCAUGUGUGAGAGGAAUUAACUGUCUAUAUCAGCAGCUAUCGAUACCUAUAUAUUCGUCAUUCAAAAGGAGAAACUGAAACAAAGAUAUACGAGUCAAACGCAGAUAUACGAAGCGUAAACAAAGUAGCACUUGCUUACCAUUUUGAAUAUCAGUAAUGUUGAUAACUUUAAUCAUUUUAAGCAGCUUGUUUUCAUCACUUUUGCUUUAAUUCUCGGGCACUGACUCGUUUGCUAAACUGAACAUCCCAUCAGAGCUCAUGCCGACAGUCCCAAC